RNAcentral lists this ribosomal RNA (240 nucleotides) under uncultured bacterium. RNAcentral describes it as "partial 16S ribosomal RNA". It matches the Rfam family "Bacterial small subunit ribosomal RNA", at positions 96 to 334 of the family's 1533-position model. The record is from RNAcentral.
UGGCGAACGGGUGAGUAACGCGUGAGGAACCUGCCUCAAAGAGGGGGACAACAGUUGGAAACGACUGCUAAUACCGCAUAAGCCCACGACCCGGCAUCGGGUAGAGGGAAAAGGAGCAAUCCGCUUUGAGACGGCCUCGCGUCCGAUUAGCUAGUUGGUGAGGUAAUGGCCCACCAAGGCGACGAUCGGUAGCCGGACUGAGAGGUUGAACGGCCACAUUGGGACUGAGACACGGCCCAG